Molecule: non-coding RNA, 513 nt
Organism: Syngnathoides biaculeatus (alligator pipefish)
Lineage: Eukaryota; Metazoa; Chordata; Actinopteri; Syngnathiformes; Syngnathidae
Source: the annotation of a RefSeq genome assembly
UUCAACUCUGAGAGAAGAGACGUUCCCAUCGAGACCCCUUCGCCAUACCGACCAUGUUGUGUGUCGUUCUGCUGGUGCUGCUCGCCGCCGGGUCCAGUGUCAAGGCUGAACAGUUGACCCAGCCGGCGUCUUUGACCCUACGGUCUGGUGAGGGGUUGAACAUCGAUUGUCAGGUGUCUUAUUCUCUGAGUAGCUACUACACUGCGUGGGUCAGGAAACCGGCCGGGAAAGGACUAGAAUGGAUCGGGAGCAGAUACACUGGGGACUAUUCCCGCAAGGACUCACUGAGUAACAAGUUCAGUAUCAAUUUGAACCCCUCUAGCAAAAUCGUCACCCUCCACGGCCAGAAUAUGCAGCCUGAAGACACUGCAGUGUACUACUGUGCCAGAGACACACAAAGACACAAACCAUCAGGGGACUUGAACAAAAACUAAUGACAUGAAAAGGGGAGGAGGAGCCUUCCCACUUCAAACCCACUGAUUAAAAAAAUGAAGGAAAAAAAAAGCAACAUGA